This 624-nucleotide ribosomal RNA is filed under the name uncultured bacterium. Its description in RNAcentral is "bacterial SSU rRNA". It matches the Rfam family "Bacterial small subunit ribosomal RNA", at positions 704 to 1328 of the family's 1533-position model. The record is from RNAcentral.
GAACACCAGUGGCGAAGGCGACUUACUGGGCCGUAACUGACGUUGAUGCGCGAAAGCGUGGGGAGCGAACAGGAUUAGAUACCCUGGUAGUCCACGCUGUAAACGAUGAGUGCUAGGUGUAGCGGGUAUCGACCCCUGCUGUGCCGGAGUUAACACGAUAAGCACUCCGCCUGGGGAGUACGGCCGCAAGGUUGAAACUCAAAGGAAUUGACGGGGGCCCGCACAAGCAGCGGAGCAUGUGGUUUAAUUCGAAGCAACGCGAAGAACCUUACCAGGUCUUGACAUCGAGGCAAAGCGUAGAGAUACGGUGUUCAGCAAUGAGGCCGAAGACAGGUGGUACAUGGUUGUCGUCAGCUCGUGUCGUGAGAUGUUGGGUUAAGUCCCGCAACGAGCGCAACCCUUAUUGUCAGUUACUAACGGGUAAAGCCGAGGACUCUGACGAGACUGCCGGGGACAACUCGGAGGAAGGUGGGGACGACGUCAAAUCAUCAUGCCCCUUAUGACCUGGGCUACACACGUGCUACAAUGGUGGUAACAGAGAGGCGCGAGCUCGCAAGGGGGAGCGGAUCUCAAAAAAGCCAUCUCAGUUCGGAUUGUGGGCUGCAACCCGCCCACAUGAAGUUG